AGACGUAGGGGGCAAGCGUUGUCCGGAAUUACUGGGCGUAGAGGGUGCGUAGGCGGCAAUGCAAGUCUAAUGUGAAAUCCCCGUGCCUAACAUGGGGAUUGCAAUAGAAACUGUAUAGUUAGAGUGCAGGAGAGGUAAGUGGAAUUCCUAGUGUAGCGGUGAAAUGCAUAGGUAUUAGGAGGAACACCAGUGGCGAAGGCGACUUACUGGACUGUAACUGACGCUGAAGCACGAAAGCGUGGGGAGC
RNAcentral lists this ribosomal RNA (247 nucleotides) under uncultured bacterium. Its description in RNAcentral is "partial 16S ribosomal RNA". It matches the Rfam family "Bacterial small subunit ribosomal RNA", at positions 523 to 769 of the family's 1533-position model. The record is from RNAcentral.